CUAUGUUAACCUAAAAAUGAAAACCCAAAAUGAGAGACUGAAAGGAAAAUGGAGGCACUAUGGACAAUCAGACCAGACCAGUUUCUGGGCAGACAUGCCUCAGCAUGUGCGCUGCAGGCCGCGCACGCGCGGAACUGUGUACGUAAACACCCUUGUGUAACCUUUACUGGCUGUGCGCCAAUUUUGCGCAACGGUCCUAUAAAAGUGGCCCUAGGAAAAGCCAGGGGCUCCCUCCUCCUGCCGGCCGGCCGAAGAGAUUAAAGCAUGUCUACGCUGUCAUCAGCUCCGCGCAUCUUUUUCCAACUCCCCAAACCCUGUGGUCCGGUCCGCAGCUGUUCCCCUUCUGCAUACACCUGGCUUAGUCAGGCAGGAUUCCAAAGUGAGGGGACCCACAGCUCCUGAGACUGACGGGACGGACACGUGGCCACCCACUUGUAUGUGGUUCCCGGUGGCGGAUGUCCUGUUGAAUUGGGCCCCUGCGGAAGGGAGGGAGCCGUGGAUGGUACCCCCGUCAGCAUCCAGCCGGCUCUGCAUAGCCUUGGGGAGCAGGUGCUGGGACGGCUGGGUGGGCUGUUUUGGACAGCCCUACGUCGCAACACGGAGUCUGCCCUGCGGGAUGCGGACCGCAUACUGGAGCUGCGAGCCAAGGAGGCCGCCGUGGAAGCGCGGGUGCCGCAGUUAGCACAGGAGUUGGAAAUGGCGCCUCGCAGCCGGACGGCGGAGGACGCUCAGGACAGGACGUGGAGGAAGCACGCCCUCUCCAUGCUCAGGCAGUAAUCUAGCAAAAGGUAAAGCACGAGCAGCCCCUGGGCCCAGGAGGUGUCGCGCAAGGAGCCCCAGUCGUGACAAAGUUCACGGCGUAUACCUUAUACGCCAACGGACCUGCGGGACUAGUACCGGCCUGGCUCCUGCGGCUAUGGGAUGAGGGGGCGGAUGGUGUCAUCUGUGCCCCAGAUGAGAUGGAGAAGCUGUCCUCCAUCACGUUGCAUCCUUCCCUUCGGCAGCAGCUACAGAUUAGCCGCCGGCUAGCCUAAGGGCAGGGGAAUCGCUCCAAGAUGGAGUGGGUGACGGCUGUCGCCUGGACAGGUGUGGCAUAACGCCUGGGAGCUUCCAGAGACUGUAAGUUGGUGGCAGACCUAUGGGAACUGGUCCAAGUUAUCCGCGAAUUGGGAAUGCGGCCCCGUCUAAUUCUUUUGGGUCCUUGGUGACGAUUUUGGCACCUUAUGUGGGGUGCCGGAUACAUGAAAUAACUACUGUCAUGGCCACUUUGGGGAACGCAGAAGGCCGGAGGAGGGAAAGAACCCUGCGUGUCGCACGGCAGAUGGCGCCCAAGCCUAAGCGAGUCACCCACAUGCAGAUGUGGAUAGAUCUGCUAGCCGCAGGCACCGGUCAGGCGAUAACAGACCGCAAACGAAGGCUGUCUUGGUGGUGCUGUGGCGCCAGUUGAAGUCUGAGCAACAGUCCCAAAAGAUGGCAGGAGUGAGGAAGAGUCCUGGCAAGAGUCGCCAGAUCUAGAGCAGGCUGUUGACUCCCUGUGGAGACAUCUGGCAACAUGUGGUUGGACCAUCAACGAUGCCAAAGUCCAGGGACUUGGCUUAUCUGUCAAGUUCUUGGGGAUUGUCUGGUCAGGACCCUUGAGAGAACACAGCACACCAGGGAGACCACAGCGAUACUAUGAGGAGGAUAAAAUAUCAAGAGACUGAAGUACGCUCCUUAGCCAGGUCCUCCAUGAUCCAGACCGCCCAGGUUGGGUUCCCAGGCAUGGAACCACACCACUCAGCUGUCAGUACCAUGCUGUGGCAGUGGCUCACAUAGAAGAACCAGAAGAAGUUACAACUAUACACAACUGUGAACUGGGGCUUUGGAGGGGGUAAAAAAAAAAAAACAAAAAAACAAGGAGGAAGACUGGCAACAGUUGUUAGCUUAGGACAAAACAAGAAGAGUGAUUGACCACAUAGGCCCUUUUUUUUUUUUUUGAGGAAGAUUGGCCCUGAGCUAACAUCUGCACCAGUCUUUCUUUAUUUUAUGUGGGAUGCCGCCAUAGCAUAGUUUGACUAGUGGUGCUAGGUCCAUGCCUGGGAUCUGAACCUGCAAACCCCAGGCCACUGAGGUGGAGUGCGUGAACUUAACCGCUACGCCACUGGGCCGGCCCCCACACAGUCUUUUUAAAAGUCUGCCUUGCUGCCUCUUGAAGCCAGGAAGUGAAACCAAGGACUUGCCAGACAUUUCCUGGAAUACCUAUAUAUUUGGGUGAAUUUUUAUUUUCUUGAGGUCCCUCAAAUAUUCUCAUGUUCCCCAGGCUACCAGGAAGUGACCUUUCUUACUCAACCGGUAAGGCUAGGAACCCUGUAGGUAACACAACAGGAGGUUUUUCCAAGGAGCUUUAUUAUCUCCAUAUUAGCUCCAUCGACUAACCUUGGUUUCUGAAAACUGGUCAUAUCUGAUUUUAUGCACAUCAUUUUUAAAUGUGACAUUUCAGUCAAAGCCUUGGUAAUAUAACCAAUGUUUCCAAUUGUAUUCUGUUACAAGGAGAAUAGAUUUUAUUGUAUCUAUGCAAAUAACUAUAUUGCCAUGAAAAUAAAAAUACUUAAUAAGAAUUUCAGGGGUCGGCCCCGUGGCCGAGUGGUUAAGUUCGCUCGCUCUGCUUCAGCAGCCCAGGGUUUCCCCGGUUUGGAUCCUGGGCACAGACAUAGCACUGCUCAUCAAGCCAUGUUGAGGCGGCAUCCCAUAUGCCACAACUAGAAGGACCCACAACUAAAAAUUUGCAACCAUGUAACAGGGGGCUUUGGGGGGAAAAAGGAAAAAUAAAAUCUUUAAAAAAAAAAAUCAAAAAAUAAUAAAACAAUUUCAUAAUUCUGGAGGGAUCAGGUAAGGAGAAAAAGAUAAAUGUUUUAAUUCUGUUUACAAAGGUAUAAUUUACCAAAUUGCUGUGAGUUAUAGAUAACAAGAGAAAAAGAUUUCCUUAAAUCUGGAAAACAAAAGAUCAAAGAACCAGCAAUGUUUCAAACAAAAAGUCAUAAAAAUUAUAACUAUCCUUAUCAGUUCAUUUAAUCCCAUGUUAUUAAUUCCUGUUCUCCUUGAAUCCAAUUUUUUCAUCAGAGUUCUGGAAAUUCCUACUCAGUUUAGUGGUACAAUCUUAAAAAGUUAUCAGGAACCUGUAUUCUACAGUACUUGUCAGAGUCUUCAUUAUAAAUCUCUCUGAAGAUGGAGCACUUUUACAGAAGCAUCAGAGUAAAACAAUAACUGUCUAUAAAUGACAAAAAAAGACUUUAAAAUGGCCAUCGUUAAAGAUCGGAUGAGGGGCUGGCUCUGUGGCCAAGUGGUUAAGUUCCGGCACUCCACUUCAGUGGCCCGGGGUUCGCUGGUUCGGAGCCCAGGUGCAGACCUACACGCCCUCAUCAAGCCAUGCUGUGGCAGCCUCCCACAUGGAGGAAAGAGAGUGACCUGCAACUAGGAUAUACAGCUAUGCACUGGGGCUUUGGGGAGAAAAAAAAAGGGAGAUUGGCAACAGCUGUUAGCUCAGGACCAAAGUUCCUCAUCAAAAAAAAAAUACAUCGGAUGAGUUCAUUUGAUAAGGAAAUUUAGUUAUUUCGGUGUCAUACAACAAUUUAAGAUAAUAAUUGAACAAUGAAGGUAUUGACAAAUUUCUGUGAACUUCAAAUCAUUCUUGGAAUGCCUAUAUUAGUAAUAUAUAUCUAUACACAUGUAACCUAAGAAGGUUUAUUAUCACUUUUUAUUUGACAAUGCUUCUUGUGUAAUUUAACAUGCAAAAAAACCUAAUUAGUUUAAUAUCUUUCUUUCACAAGGUAAGAGACAAAUGUUUUGAGCUUUUUCCAGGGGCCCUUUGGGAAAUCUCAAAGUUAAUCUGAGAUCAAAAAGACUCCAUUUAAGGGCCAGCCUGGUGGCACAGUGGUUGGGUUCACGCAUUCCGCUUCAGCAGCCCAGGGUUCGCCGGUUCAGAUCCCAGGCAUGGACCCACACGCUGCCUAUCAAGCCAUGCUGUGGUAGGCGUCCUACAUGUAAACUAGAGGAAGAUGAGCACAGAUGUUAGCUCAGGGCCAGUCUUCCUCAGCAAAAAGAGGAGGAUUGGCAGCAGAUGUUAGCUCAGGGCUGAUCUUCCUCAAAAAAAAAAAAAGACUCCAUUUAAAAUUUGAUUUGGGGAAGUUGUCAAAAAUGUUAAAAGUUUUGAACAUUAAAUUAAAUAAAUUAUGUAUUUAUGUAUACAUAUAUAAUAUUUUAAUAUAAAUAUAUAAUAGAUAAAUUGUGUAUAUGUAUAUAUAAUAUAUAACUAAUAAAAACAAAGUUCCAUAGCUUGAUCCAACUGGAAAUCCACUGUUUGUAUACUAAAUUUAUAUAUUAAAAAUAGCAUAUAAGAAAAAACAAAAAGGGUGCUAAUUGGCUUUUGUGGUGUACAACAUAGGUUCUAAAUUAACUUUAACAUUGGCUGAAAUGCACCAAUUGGCAAAACUUUAUGGACUUAAUUCUGG
Molecule: long non-coding RNA, 4487 nt
Organism: Equus caballus (horse)
Lineage: Eukaryota; Metazoa; Chordata; Mammalia; Perissodactyla; Equidae
Source: Ensembl